CUUCACCUAAAACAAAGACUUCACCUGAAACUAAGACAUCACCUGAAACAAAAAGUUUGAAAUCAUCCAAGUCCAAUGCGUCAAUUCCUUCUCAUUGUGACAAUGAAAUUUUACCUGAUCCUCCAUUAAAGAAGCGAUCACGGAAAGGCUACUUUUAUAGUUGUGGCUGGAUGAGCCAUUUGUGGCCGAGCUGCAAGUGUUUGAGUUGUUGCUCAUCAUUCUCCAGUUGUUGGAUUUGUAAUCGUACAAAGUGUCAUCAUCCCACCUCCCUAAUUUUGAAAGAAGAAGGAAAUGGUUCUACGAAUAUGGAUGUUUCACCACAGGAAUCAGAUAAACCACAGGAAUCAGAUAAACCACAUGAAUCAGAUAAACCACAUGAAUCAGAUAAAGAAGAAUCAGGAAUGACUUCGGACUCUACAGCCAUCCAAACUAAACAACAAUCCGAAGUGCUUUCCAAAUCAAAAGACAAUAAUUCCAAUUGGAUCCAUUCUUUUUCUUGUCCAUGGAAACUACCUUCCAAACAUUGUUGUUGUUGUUGAGAGAUCUUUUACAGAAUUCAGAUGCCUCGUUUGUUUAUAGUUUACCACCACCUUUAGGUACAUAGUUUUGAUCACAUGGCAAUGAACACAUAUGUUGGAGCUUCAUGUGAACCACUCUUCCCUUCAAAGAGUAAUAUGAAUGUAUAUGCGAGCUAGAUUCAUAAUGAGUAAAGAAAAAUUAUAUGGUUUCAUCAUAAA
Vigna umbellata (rice bean) is the source of this 737-nucleotide non-coding RNA. The record is from RefSeq and is a predicted model, not a curated record. NCBI's taxonomy places the organism in Eukaryota, Viridiplantae, Streptophyta, Magnoliopsida, Fabales, Fabaceae.